This 886-nucleotide ribosomal RNA is filed under the name Gigaspora margarita. Its description in RNAcentral is "eukaryotic LSU rRNA". It matches the Rfam family "Eukaryotic large subunit ribosomal RNA", at positions 1 to 801 of the family's 3401-position model. The record is from RNAcentral. Lineage: Eukaryota; Fungi; Glomeromycota; Glomeromycetes; Diversisporales; Gigasporaceae.
ACCUCAAGUCAUGUGAGAGUACCCGCUGAACUUAAGCAUAUCAAUAAGCGGAGGAAAAGAAACUAACAAGGAUUCCCCUAGUAACGGCGAGUGAAGCGGGAAGAGCACAAAUUUAAAAUCUACCUGGUUUUCAGGUCGAGUUGUAAUUUGAAGAUACGUUUUUGAUGUUCCUGGUUGAACUAAAUCCUUUGGGAUAAGGUAUCAUAGAGGGUGAGAAUCCCGUUUAUACCAACCACAGGGAUGUUAUUUAAUAACGUUUCUAAGAGUCGAGUUGUUUGGGAAUGCAGCUCUAAAUGGGUGGUAAAUUUCACCUAAUGCUAAAUAUAAGCGAGAGACCGAUAGCGAACAAGUACAGUGAUGGAAAGAUGAAAAGAACUUUGAAAAGAGAGUUAAAUAGUACGUGAAAUUGUUGAAAGGGAAACGAUUAAAGUCAGUCAUGCCGACGGGAAUCAACUUAGGGGAAACUCUGGGUGCACUUCUUCGCUUGGCAGGUCAACGUCGAUUUUGAAUGUCAUAAAAUAAUUGGGGGAAGGUAGCUCCUUCGGGAGUGUUAUAGCCCUUGAUAGAUGUGAUGUUUGGGGUCGAGGAUUGCAACGGAUACCCUUCGGGGCUAGCCGCCUGAUCUCUAAUUGGUGUUGGGUUACGGAUAGCAUGCUGACCGUGAUCUAAUUACUGGUUAAAAGGUUAGAGUGUGCAUAAAUUCGUUAAGGACGUUGACGUAAUGGCUUUAAACGACCCGUCUUGAAACACGGACCAAGGAGUCUAACAUGUGUGCGAGUGUUAGGGUAUUAAACCCAGACGCGAAAUGAAAGUGAGUGUAGGUGGGAUCCUUUAUUGGAGCACCAUCGACCGAUCUUGAGAUUUAUCGAUAGAAUUGAGUUAGAGC